AACGAACGCUGGCGGCAUGCCUAACACAUGCAAGUCGAACGAGACCUUCGGGUCUAGUGGCGCACGGGUGCGUAACGCGUGGGAACCUGCCCUUAGGUUCGGAAUAACUCCCCGAAAGGGGUGCUAAUACCGGAUAAUGUCUUCGGACCAAAGAUUUAUCGCCUUUGGAUGGGCCCGCGUUGGAUUAGCUAGUUGGUAGGGUAAAAGCCUACCAAGGCGACGAUCCAUAGCUGGUCUGAGAGGAUGAUCAGCCACACUGGGACUGAGACACGGCCCAGACUCCUACGGGAAGCAGCAGUGGGGAAUAUUGGACAAUGGGCGAAAGCGUGAUCCAGCAAUGCCGCGUGAGUGAUGAAGGCCUUAGGGUUGUAAAGCUCUUUUACCCGGGAUGAUAAUGACAGUACCGGGAGAAUAAGCACCGGCUAACUCCGUG
This 433-nucleotide ribosomal RNA is filed under the name uncultured bacterium. Its description in RNAcentral is "partial 16S ribosomal RNA". It matches the Rfam family "Bacterial small subunit ribosomal RNA", at positions 29 to 507 of the family's 1533-position model. The record is from RNAcentral.